AGAGUUUGAUCCUGGCUCAGAACGAACGCUGGCGGCGUGCCUAACACAUGCAAGUCGCGCGGGAAAGUUCCCUUCGGGGAGCGAGUAUAGCGGCGCACGGGUGAGUAAUACGUAGGUAACCUGCCCUCGAGACUGGGACAACCUGUCGAAAGACGGGCUAAUACCAGAUAAGACCACGAGAGCUGCGGCUCUUGGGGUAAAAGGUGGCCUCUGCUUGCAAGCUAUCACUUGAGGAUGGGCCUGCGCGCCAUUAGCUAGUUGGUGAGGUAACGGCUCACCAAGGCUGAGAUGGCUAGCUGGUCUGAGAGGAUGACCAGCCACACUGGGACUGAGACACGGCCCAGACUCCUACGGGAGGCAGCAGUGGGGAAUCUUGGACAAUGGGCGCAAGCCUGAUCCAGCCAUGCCGCGUGGAUGAUGAAGGCCUUAGGGUUGUAAAAUCCUUUCGUUGGGGACGAUAAUGACAGUACCCAGAGAAUAGC
This 482-nucleotide ribosomal RNA is filed under the name uncultured Kaistia sp. RNAcentral's name for it is "bacterial SSU rRNA". It matches the Rfam family "Bacterial small subunit ribosomal RNA", at positions 8 to 491 of the family's 1533-position model. Lineage: Bacteria; Pseudomonadati; Pseudomonadota; Alphaproteobacteria; Hyphomicrobiales; Kaistiaceae. The record is from RNAcentral.